RNAcentral lists this small nuclear RNA (304 nucleotides) under Propithecus coquereli (Coquerel's sifaka). Its description in RNAcentral is "7SK RNA (ENSPCOG00000011341.1)". It matches the Rfam family "7SK RNA". From Rfam's summary of the family: 7SK was discovered as an abundant small nuclear RNA in the mid-70s but a possible function has only recently been suggested. Two independent studies have found that 7SK RNA binds the CDK9/cyclin T complex (known as elongation factor P-TEFb). Lineage: Eukaryota; Metazoa; Chordata; Mammalia; Primates; Indriidae. The record is from Rfam by way of RNAcentral.
GGAUGUGAGGGCCAUCUGGCUGUGACAUCAGUCACCCCUCUGAUCGCCAGGGUUGAUUCAGGUGGCUGAUCUGGCUGGCUAGGCGUGUGUCCUCUUCCUCCCUCACUGCUCCAUGUGCUUCCCUCCUGAAGCUGCGAGCUCGGUGGAAGAGGAUGACCUUCCCCAGUAGAGGAGGACCAUUCUUCGUUCAAGGGUAUAUGAGUAGCUGCGCUCCCCUGCUAGAACCUCUAAACAAGCUCUCGAAAAGUUAGUUCUGUGCCUAAGCAAUUCCAUUCAUCUAAAAUGAAUUUAGAUGAAUUCCAUU